UACGGAGGAGGCAAGCGUUAUCCGGAAUUAUUGGGCGUAAAGCGUCCGUAGGUGGCUAGUCAAGUCUGCGGUCAAAGACUGGGGCUUAACCCUGGAAAGGCCGUGGAAACUGACGAGCUAGAGUGCAGUAGGGGUAGAGGGAAUUCCCGGUGUAGCGGUGAAAUGCGUAGAGCUCGGGAAGAACAUCGGUGGCGAAAGCGCUCUACUGGACUGCAACUGACACUCAGGGACGAAAGCUAGGGGAGUGAAUGGG
Molecule: ribosomal RNA, 253 nt
Filed under: uncultured bacterium
Lineage: Bacteria
Description: partial 16S ribosomal RNA
Rfam family: Bacterial small subunit ribosomal RNA
Source: RNAcentral